CUACGGGAGGCACCAGUGGGGAAUAUUGCACAAUGGGCGCAAGCCUGAUGCAGCCAUGCCGCGUGUAUGAAGAAGGCCUUCGGGUUGUAAGGUACUUUCAGCGGGGAGGAAGGGAGUAAAGUUAAUACCUUUGCUCAUUGACGUUACCCGCAGAAGAAGCACCGGCUAACUCCGUGCCAGCAGCCGCGGGAAUACGGAGGGUGCAAGCGUUAAUCGGAAUUACUGGGCGUAAAGCGCACGCAGGCGGUUUGUUAAGUCAGAUGUGAAAUCCCCGGGCUCAACCUGGGAACUGCAUCUGAUACUGGCAAGCUUGAGUCUCGUAGAGGGGGGUAGAAUUCCAGGUGUAGCGGUGAAAUGCGUAGAGAUCUGGAGGAAUACCGGUGGCGAAGGCGGCCCCCUGGACGAAGACUGACGCUCAGGUGCGAAAGCGUGGGGAGCAAACAGGAUUAGAUACCCUCGUAGUC
RNAcentral lists this ribosomal RNA (464 nucleotides) under uncultured bacterium. RNAcentral's name for it is "partial 16S ribosomal RNA". It matches the Rfam family "Bacterial small subunit ribosomal RNA", at positions 339 to 795 of the family's 1533-position model. The record is from RNAcentral.